This is a long non-coding RNA of Nerophis ophidion (straightnose pipefish), 491 nucleotides long. RefSeq lists it as uncharacterized. The record is from RefSeq and is a predicted model, not a curated record. The transcript has 4 exons. Lineage: Eukaryota; Metazoa; Chordata; Actinopteri; Syngnathiformes; Syngnathidae.
UUCACACACGGACGUCAGUGCACUUCCGUUCCCCAUGACACCGGAGUGAAGUUCUGACAGCUCAGGCUUCACUCGGUGCUUUCUCACCCCCAUAAAACCUACAUAAAUAUCACAUUUCCUUCACCAUUUUCGCUCUCAAGUGCCUCAAUCUCCGCCUGGAGCUUCAGCGAGCGGAGGGCAGCCGAUGAUGUUGUAGCACGGAGCACCAGCUCGGAGAUUACAGGCAUUUGAGUAGCAGCGCAGCGCGAGGCAGACCAAGGCAGAGCGCUGCUGAGUAGCCAUGCUCACAUUGGCCAGUAAGCUGAAAAGGAGCGAUGGAGGACAGACAGGCCGUGCCUCUGGAGCCACUGACUCAACUCAUAGGGUCUCGAUAAGGGACCGUCUCCUUACCAAAGAAGUUGCGGAACUUGAAGCCAAUCUUCCUAGUACAUGCACAGCCAAUUUCCCAGACGAGGACAAGCUGCACCAUUUUCAGUUGGCAGUGUCUCCUG